GGAGAUGUAGUUCAGUGGUAGAACAACUUGUCAACAGGGCCGCCACCCCUAAUGGGAUGGGUCUGGUCUGGCAAGGUUAGACCUAGCGUUCGAUUCCUAGCGUCUCCC
Molecule: non-coding RNA, 108 nt
Organism: Dendryphion nanum
Lineage: Eukaryota; Fungi; Ascomycota; Dothideomycetes; Pleosporales; Torulaceae
Source: the annotation of a GenBank genome assembly